UACAGAGGCAAAACGAGAUGAAUUCUUUUCUCAGAAUUUAAAAUUGCUAUUUAAAAAGCUUUGUGUAAAACUUUCUAUGGUGCAUCUUUCCUCUGGUAUUGAAUAAAAACAAGGAAUAGAGGAAUGGUAACAAAUUUAAGUGGUAUUGUAUCUACAUGGUGACCACCUGUAGUGACCACCAUGUGACCACAAAUUGCCUUUGAAUCAUUUUCAGUCUCUUUUUAAAUAAAUAAUUUGUGGUAUUUCUAGUACUGAAGGAGUUUUGAUAUUUUAUUCUGAAUUAUUCUCCAUUUAAAAGAGUUUAUUCUCACUGCUUAUCAGAUAUUUUCUGCCCUUUGUAGCUAAACCCAAAGUGAACGUGAAGCCAUCUGUGGUUAAAGUUGUGUCAUCCCCCAAAUUGGCCCCAAAACGUAAGGCAGUGGAGAUGCACACUGCUGUCAUUGCCGCUGUAAAGCCACUCAGCUCCAGCAGUGUCCUACAGGAACCCCCAGCCAAAAAGGCAGCUGUGGCUGUUGUCCCGCUUGUCUCUGAGGACAAAUCAGUCACUGUGCCUGAAGCAGAAAAUCCUAGAGAC
Molecule: small RNA, 574 nt
Filed under: Pan troglodytes (chimpanzee)
Lineage: Eukaryota; Metazoa; Chordata; Mammalia; Primates; Hominidae
Description: processed transcript
Source: RNAcentral